CCUACGGGUGGCAGCAGUGGGGAAUAUUGCACAAUGGGGGAAACCCUGAUGCAGCGACGCCGCGUGAGUGAAGAAGUAUUUCGGUAUGUAAAGCUCUAUCAGCAGGAACGAGACAAGACGGUACCUGACUAAGAAGCCCCGGCUAACUACGUGCCAGCAGCCGCGGUAAUACGUAGGGGGCAAGCGUGAUCCGGAAUCACUGGGUGUAAAGGGAGCGUAGACGGCUGUGCAAGCCUGAAGUGAAAGGCGGGGGCCCAACCCCUGGACUGCUUUGGGAACUGUACGGCUGGAGUACAGGAGAGGUAAGUGGAAUUCCUAGUGUAGCGGUGAAAUGCGUAGAUAUUAGGAGGAACACCAGUGGCGAAGGCGGCUUACUGGACUGUAACUGACGUUGAGGCUCGAAAGCGUGGGGAGCAAACAGGAUUAGAUACCCUGGUAGUC
Molecule: ribosomal RNA, 441 nt
Filed under: uncultured bacterium
Lineage: Bacteria
Description: partial 16S ribosomal RNA
Rfam family: Bacterial small subunit ribosomal RNA
Source: RNAcentral